Molecule: long non-coding RNA, 227 nt
Organism: Ixodes scapularis (black-legged tick)
Lineage: Eukaryota; Metazoa; Arthropoda; Arachnida; Ixodida; Ixodidae
Exons: 3
Source: RefSeq, a predicted model, not a curated record
GACAAAUCAUGUCCAGAUAGCUCAUGGUGACCCGGACUUUAAUUCUGUUUGCAAGUUGGAAGAGGUUGAUGGGAAGACGUUACUAAACUUGUCAGUGUGGAUGAUUGAGCAGUCGCUCCCUGCUAUGAAACUGCGAGUCAAACUGCUAAAACUGAUUGAACAGCUAAAAGGAGACAUAAAAGAAAGCUUGCCUGGACCCUCCAAUGUGCCUCGUGCUAGUAACACAG